Molecule: ribosomal RNA, 482 nt
Filed under: uncultured bacterium
Lineage: Bacteria
Description: partial 16S ribosomal RNA
Rfam family: Bacterial small subunit ribosomal RNA
Source: RNAcentral
AUUGAACGCUGGCGGCAUGCUUUACACAUGCAAGUCGAACGGUAACAGGCCGCAAGGUGCUGACGAGUGGCGAACGGGUGAGUAAUGCAUCGGAACGUGCCCAGUCGUGGGGGAUAACUACUCGCAAGAGUAGCUAAUACCGCAUACGAUCUAUGGAUGAAAGCGGGGGACCGUAAGGCUUCGCGCGAUUGGAGCGGCCAAUGUCAGAUUAGGUAGUUGGUGGGGUAAAGGCUCACCAAGCCAACGAUUUGUAGCUGGUCUGAGAGGACGACCCGCCACACUGGGACUGAGACACGGCCCAGACUCCUACGGGAGGCAGCAGUGGGGAAUUUUGGACAAUGGGCGCAAGCCUGAUCCAGCAAUGCCGCGUGCAGGAAGAAGGCCUUCGGGUUGUAAACUGCUUUUGUACGGAACGAAACGGCUCUGGUUAAUACCCGGGGCUAAUGACGGUACCGUAAGAAUAAGCACCGGCUAACUACGUG